Long non-coding RNA from Xiphophorus hellerii (green swordtail), 349 nucleotides. RefSeq lists it as uncharacterized. The transcript has 4 exons. The record is from RefSeq and is a predicted model, not a curated record. NCBI's taxonomy places the organism in Eukaryota, Metazoa, Chordata, Actinopteri, Cyprinodontiformes, Poeciliidae.
CGAUUUAAGUUUGUAAGACGAGUGAAAUUCUUUCCGCAUGACUGGCAUGAAAAAGGUUUCUCACCUGUAUGAAUUUUCUUGUGACUAUUUAGAUGACUAUGUUGAGAGAAAUUCUUUCCGCAUGACUGGCAUGAAAAAGGCCUCUCACCUGUAUGAAUUUUCUUGUGACGAUAAAAAUUACUAAUAUGAGAAAAAUCUUUUCCACAUGAUUGGCAUGAAAAAGGUCUCUCACCUGUAUGAAUUUUCUUGUGACGAAUUACAUUUCUCAUAUUAGAGAAACUUUUUCCACAUGUUUCACAUGAAAAAGGCCUAUCACCUGUAUGAAUUUUCUUGUGAAGCCUUAAAUGAC